UCAUCAAGGCAGAAGGGUGGCUACUUUGAAGAAUCUCAAAUAUAAACUAUAUUUUGAUUUGUUUAACACUUUUUGGUUACUACAUUAUUUCAUGUGUUAUUUCACAGUUCUGAUAGAGUCACUAUUAUUCUACAAUGUAGAAAAUAGUAAAACAAACAAAGAAAAACCCAUGAAUGAGUAGGUGUGUCCAAACUUUUGACUGGUACUGUAUGUUUAGUUGAAUUUAUUCCGCCACUGUGAGACUGUUGUCUUUUUGUUGUCAUGGUCUUAUUGUAUAUCAUGGUGGAGUAAGAACUAAUGGGUUAUAGAGAAAUUAUCACAAUAUAGGUUUUAAUACGGAUUUUCUACUGGGCUAGCUUGUCCAGUGAUUUUACCCACACACCACUACUGCUAUCUAUAGGCCGUCUAUAGGCCGAGCGCAAACAAAAAUAAGUUGUUUACACAUGUUAAAGCGCACAAUGCAUUGUUGUUCAGCCUCAUGGCAGUUUAAAGGGGGUGUUGGUUUUGUAUACAGGGUUCAGAGGAGUCACAGAGCAAGAGAGAAUGGACCUGGUAGUUACGACCCUGGUGGUUACGACCCUGGUGGUUACGACCCUGGUGGUUACAACCCUGGUGGUUACAACCCUGGUGGUUACAACCCUGGUGGUUGUAACACAGGAAAUAAAACAAAUAUUCAAAACUCCUUGCACACAGAACACCCAGCUGGUGAUGGUGAUAUAACUGAGUAGAACAAUCCUUCUACACCAGACUGACAACAUUACCAACAUCCUUCUCCCUGGUAGUUCAAACCCUAACAUACACACGCUCACGUGAAGCCUUCCCUGGCCCUCUUGUCUUGACUGGCCGAUCAGAAGGGAUCUCACUGGGAGGCAGUGAUUCUGUGUGUCUGUGUGUGGGUGUGAUCAGGAGGUGGCUUUGGGGAAAGUUCAGAUGGAUAGUCUCCGAUACCUGUACCUCUGUGUUUUAAGAAUGGCAGGUUUACACAUGCCAUGCAUCUCAUUCUGUUUCUCUGUUUCUCACUACCAGUCUGCAACUAAAGUGUCUUCUGAUAUAUCCAGAAGUAUUCAACAGUAAUACAAACAAUUAGUUGAUAAAUAGUACAUGACAAAUACAUUAUCCGUGUGCAAAUCAGGGUAAACAUAUAUAUAUAUAUACAUUAUAUAGAAUAUUAACAACAAAAACACAACUUGCAAUAAAUAAUACAUAUUUAAAUACACAAAAUAAUACAUAGCAUAAAUAAUCUUUCAAAACGGAAAUAAACUGUAUAAAAAUAGUUGCUACAUAAUACCUAAAAUGUAGUAUUUUUCCCCAAUAAUAUUUUCCAUUCUGUGUUAGUGAAUGUAACUGACCACUGGACAGACCACAACAGAACAGACAUAUUGAGAUGAAGGUAUAUAGAAUUGAGAUGAAGGUAUAUAGAACUCGGCAACCCAUGUAGAUACAGUCAGACCUGGUUUCAAAUACUAUUUGAAAUCUUUUAAAUAUUUAUUUUAAUUCGCAUCAAGGCCAUCAUACCAGGCACACUGGACCCACUCCAGUUGACCAUUUCCAUCGCUCUUCACACGGCCCUAACACAUCUGGACAAGAGGAACACCUAUGUGAGAAUGCUGUUCAUUCACUACAGUUCAGCCUUCAACACUAUUGUUCCCUCCAAGCUCGACACCAAGCUCAGAGCCGUGGGUCUGGACACUACCCUCUGAAACUGGAUCCUGGACUUCCUGACGGGCAGACCACAGACUGUGAAUAUUGUCAACAACACCUCCUGCACACUGACUCUUAACACAGGUGUCCCCCAGGGGUGUGUCCCCAGCUCUUAACACAGGGGUCCCCCAGGGGUGUGUCCUCAGCUCUUAACACAGGGGCCCCCCAGGGGUGUGUCCUCAGCUCUUAACACAGGGGCCCCCCAGGGGUGUGUCCUCAGCUCUUAACACAGGGGCCCCCCAGGGGUGUGUCCUCAGCUCUUAACACAGGGGCCCCCCAGGGGUGUGUCCUCAGCUCUUAACACAGGGGCCCCCCAGGGGUGUGUCCUCAGCUCUUAACACAGGGGCCCCCCAGGGGUGUGUCCUCAGCUCUUAACACAGGGGUCCCCCAGGGGUGUGUCCUCAGCUCUUAACACAGGGGUCCCCCAGGGGUGUGUCCUCAGCUCUUAACACAGGGGCCCCCCAGGGGUGUGUCCUCAGCCCUCUGCUGAUCCACUAGUUCUUCAGCGUCCACAUCACAGAGGACUUGACAUGGACCAACACCACCACCACUCUAGUCAAGACAGCGUAACGGUGUCUCUACUUCCUAAGGCGGCUGUAGAAAUUCGACGUGCCACCCGGGGUCGUCUCCAAAUAUUACCGUUGCACCAUCGAGUGUCCUGACCGGUUGCAUUACAGCCCGGUUACGGGAAUUGUUCCGUCCACGACCGAAAGGCCCUCCAGCGGGGGGUGAAGACGGCCCAGUACAUCACUGGGAUUGUGCUCCCAUCCAUCCAGGACAUCUACUGGAAACGGUACCUGAUGAAGUCCCGCAGCAUCAUCAAGGACCCCACACACCCCAACAUGAGGUCACUUCCUGCCAUGAGCUGUUCAUUCCCUUACUGUUGGGCAGACGGUAUCAGAGCAUGAGGUCUGAUACCAACAGGUUCAGAGACAGUUUCUAUCUACAAGCCAUCAGACUGUAUCAGAGCAUGAGGUCUGAUACCAACAGGUUCAGAGACAGUUUCUAUCUACAAGCCAUCAGACUGCUGAACACUUGAACAAGACUGACCACCUGCACUCUCAGCACACACACACACACACACACACCUGUUGCUACCAGACUACAUACUGCACAAUUUAAACACUCCCCCCUCUCCAAAACACAUGUAAAAAUGGAACUAUAAAUGGUCCCUUCCUGUAUUAUACUGAUGCUAAAAUGUUUAUUCUACUGAGCCAUUUACUUUAUAUUCGUAUUCUUGUAUUAAUUAUUAUUGUUGUUGUCGAGAAGGCACCUGCAAGUAAGCAUUUCAUUGGAUGGUGUAUGCCAUGUAUAUCCUUGUACAUACGACCAAUAAAACAUGAAACUAGUGUUUUCUCUAGUCUACCUGGAGUGCCAGAUGGGUGGAGUUUGAACACUUGCAAUUCGUCUAUUGGUUCCAUUCUGCCAGACAAGCUCAAUCAAGCCCAGCUAAAGUAUUUGGAAGAUUUCAAGUAGUAUGUGAGCCCAUGUCUGAAUACAGUAAUACAAUAUGUUACAGCUCCAAAAUAACCCUUUCUCUCUCUCUGUAUAGAUCGAUGCAUAGAAAAGCACUGAAAAUAAAAUAAAAGUCCUGAUUUUAUUUUUUGCCAGACUUUUCCUAGUUCUCAGACACUAGUAGUUUGCUUUCAUAUCAGAUAACUUAUUUGAUGUAAACCAUGAGUUACUGCAUUAAAGUCAUCACACAUUAAAGCAUACAUUACUCUGAAAGCCAGCCGUGAAGUAGCCUUUGUCCCAGAACAGUUCGUCCUUCCAACUACUCCAUUGGUAUUGGUAUCCAUUCCAGAAGGAGUUGGCAAGAGAGCCGAAAACAGCCUGGCACUCAGACUAGCCUUGAAGUGCUCGGGUUGAAGCGUCCGCAUACAACAGGCAUGCUUGUUUGCGUCUGACUGUAGCAGCUGUUAUUCUAUAGUCAGGGUAAUAUACACACAUACAAGUACAACACAGAGCCUGCAGUAGGAAGUUUGAGGAUGACCUAUAAACCUUAACUCAUCUACUGACUGUAUAUCAGCAUGAUGCUGCUGUACGCUUCAUCUGAGGUUCUGAGUCAUGGCGUUUAAACCACUGCUAACAACACAGGGAUCGUGAUCCGCCCCCUGCCUACAGUACUCUGUCCAUUCCAUCUAGACCUGAGCAGAGACAUAUUUACAAAUAUGGAAAUAUAUAUCUCAGAGCCUGACAACACCACAGGACAUACUGGAAGCAAGAGAAGAAGUCAGCUGUUGUCUUUAUAGUGAGGACAUCAGGGUUGGGGUCAAUUUCAUUUCAUUUCAGUCAAUUCAGGAAGUAAACAGGAACUGAUCCUAACCCUUAUUAAGGAGGUGAAAGAAACAGCUGUCUGAUAUGUUAACCAGCUCAGAUAGCAACUAGGACUACUACACAACCACUAGAAGUAUGACACCAGCCAUAUAGUAAAAGUCGUAGGCCGUCACUGUAAAUAACUGACUUGCCUAGUUAAAUAAAAGGUUAAAAAAAUACAAAAUAAUAAUAAUAAUAAUAUGUGUUAUUUCAUUGUUUUCAUGUCUCACUAUUAUUCUACAAUGUAGAAAUAGUAAAAAAUAAAGAAAAACCAUUGAAUGAGAAGGUGUUCUAAGACUUUUGACUGGUACUGUACAUGAAUUGUACAGAGUGAAAAAUGUAAAGUAUGAGUAGGUUCAUUAGAAAUGUAUUAAGGCUAUGCCGUGUGCGUUUACUUCUAUCAAUCUUCAAUUGCAAGGUGGUUGUUAGGUCAGGUUAUUGUCUAUUUUCCAACAGAUUUAACCCAAAAUAGCCCUAAAAGAUCAUCUCAUUUACCCACCACUAAAGCCUCCAGGAAUGAGGAGGAGCAGCAGGAGUGCGCCCUAGUGGCCACACAGAACACCACACGCUCAUCCAAAAGGGUCAAAGGGCUCAGAGGAAGAGAAAGCUGCCAAUGCUAGUGGUUCAUUUACAGUUCUUUCUAUACCACUGUUCCUACACUCCCAUACAUAGCCUAUAUAGUACAGUACGUUAUAUUCAUAUCACCAACAAAUGAUUAAACAAACGGUUCAAGAGAGUAGACGGACAGUCAGCAAGCAGAAUUGGGGAGAGGUGGGGGGGAAAGGAGGAGAGAGGGGGAGGGGGAGGGCUACAGAGAGUUCUACGGAGAGAGGAAGAGGGAGAGAGACGGUCUUACUGGGAAAGGGGGGCAGGAGAGGGAGAGAGACGGUAUUACUGGGAAAGGGGGGGCAGGAGAGGGAGAGAGACAGUAUUACUGGGAAAGGGGGGGCAGGAGAGGGAGAGAGACAGUCUUACUGGGAAGGGGGGGCAGGAGAGGGAGAGAGACGGUAUUACUGGGAAGGGGGGCAGGAGAGGGAGAGAGACGGUAUUACUGGGAAAGGGGGCAGGAGAGGGAGAGAGACAGUAUUACUGGGAAAGGGGGGCAGGAGAGGGAGAGAGACGGUCUUACUGGGAAAGGGGGGCAGGAGAGGGAGAGAGACGGUAUUACUGGGAAAGGGGGGAAGGAGAGGGAGAGAGACGGUAUUACUGGGAAAGGGGGGGCAGGAGAGGGAGAGAGACGGUAUUACUGGGAAAGGGGGGGCAGGAGAGGGAGAGAGACGGUAUUACUGGGAAAGGGGGGAAGGAGAGGGAGAGAGACGGUAUUACUGGGAAAGGGGGCAGGAGAGGGAGAGAGACAGUAUUACUGGGAAAGGGGGGCAGGAGAGGGAGAGAGACAGUAUUACUGGGAAAGGGGGGCAGGAGAGGGAGAGAGACAGUAUUACUGGGAAAGGGGGGGCAGGAGAGGGAGAGAGACAGUAUUACUGGGAAAGGGGGGCAGGAGAGGGAGAGAGACGGUAUUACUGGGAAAGGGGGGCAGGAGAGGGAGAGAGACGGUAUUACUGGGAAAGGGGGGCAGGAGAGGGAGAGAGACGGUAUUACUGGGAAAGGGGGGCAGGAGAGGGAGAGAGACGGUCUUACUGGGAAAGGGGGGCAGGAGAGGGAGAGAGACAGUAUUACUGGGAAAGGGGGGAGGAGGGUGCUCAGAAGGUCACUGAUCAGCAGCAUGCAGAUUUAUGAGGGCGGUCUUGGCAGAACCGGAUGCCUGGAGAGAGAGAGAGAGAGAGAGAGAGAAAGAGAGAGAGAGAAAGUAAGAAAGAGAAAGAAAGAAAGAAAGAAAGAAAGAAAGAAAGAAAGAAAGAAAGAAAGAAAGAGAGAGAGAGAGAAACAAACAAUGCAAUGAGUCCCAUAAACAGAACCAGGUGUACAUUAUAUGUCUUAUAUGGAAUCUUUAUUGUGAAAAACUGUGGGAUGAAUUUCACCAGUCUAAUAUGCUAAAUAUGCUGAAAUCACAUUUAAUAUGCUGCAUUUCCUCCUAGCCAAUCAGAAGGCAAGAUGAAGCCAAAAUAACAAUAAUUCUUAUAUGGACCCAAUAUUAGGUAUGUAAGUGGCUCACUCACUAUAUGGAACUCUGAAUAAAUAUAUUCAGUGUUCCCUCUGUUUCCCAGAGAUAGAGAGAAAUAGAGAGAGAGGGAGAAAGAGAGGUAGAGAGAAAGAGAGAGAAAAAGAGAGUGGGAGAGAGAGAGAAAGAGAGAGAGAUAGCAAGAAAGAGGGCGACAAAGAGAGAGAACAGCAGAGAGAAAGAGAGAGAUAGAGAGAGAAAAGGAGAGUGAGAGAAAGAUA
RNAcentral lists this long non-coding RNA (6357 nucleotides) under Salmo salar (Atlantic salmon). RNAcentral describes it as "lncRNA (ENSSSAG00000117413.1)". The record is from RNAcentral. Lineage: Eukaryota; Metazoa; Chordata; Actinopteri; Salmoniformes; Salmonidae.